RNAcentral lists this transfer RNA (72 nucleotides) under Oreochromis niloticus (Nile tilapia). Its description in RNAcentral is "tRNA-Cys (GCA) (tRNA-Cys-GCA-30-1)". It matches the Rfam family "tRNA". Rfam says of the family: Transfer RNA (tRNA) molecules are approximately 80 nucleotides in length. Their secondary structure includes four short double-helical elements and three loops (D, anti-codon, and T loops). RNAcentral also lists the same sequence under 5 other names. The record is from Rfam by way of RNAcentral. Lineage: Eukaryota; Metazoa; Chordata; Actinopteri; Cichliformes; Cichlidae.
GGGGGUAUAGCUUAGUGGUAGAGCAUUUGAUUGCAGCUCAAGAGGUCUCUGGUUCAAUUCCAGAUACUCCCU